AAUGAGAAAAAUUUCAGAGAAAAAUGACGUUAAUGGGGCCGCGUGUCUUUAUUAAGUAAAGAUAGCGCGGGCAAAUAAAUAUUUUAAAUAUUAUGAGGACACCGUCUUGGAGUACAAACUUUAUAAUUUGUUUGUGCAUGUGUAGAAGAAGAUAAUAGAAGAAAAUUGGAGUUAAAUGAGUGUUGGGAGGACUAAAUUAAAAUGGAAAGAAACUAAAAGGGCAAAACGAUAAUUUUACAUGAAGUUUGGUCAAAGCUUCCAAAGAAAGCUUUGACUUUGAUUUUUUAGGCCAAGAUCGACCUUAUCCUUUCCCCCACCAGAUUUUUCUUCUUCUUCAUCCAUGCUCCAUGCCAUUCUUGAUGCUUCCAUGCCAUUUUCUCUUUAUCCACCAUGAAAUCAAGUUUUCUUCACUUUCUUUUCCAUGUUUUCUUUUCCUUUCUUCUCCAAACUUCUUGAGCACUAAAUUUACAGCCUUUAACCCCAAUUUCUAGCACAUCUAAACCCUAGGAAGAGAAGAAAGAAAAAGAGAGAAAGGAAGAAAAAAGCUUGGUUUUGGUGAUUCAAGCAAGGAACGGUAAGAAUUCUUGUUCUUGGCUUGAGUAGUUUUUGAAAUGAGUUAGUGACUUAGAGAAAUGUCUUGUGGUAGCAAAGAUUGGCUUGAUUGGAGAAAAAUUGAUAACAUGUAAGCCAAUAAACCCAUGGGUACAUGAAGGACUCAAAGUGGAAAAGAAAACGGAAGUGCAAAGAUAAGGUUGGAGUACUAUGGUGGCGUGCUGGAGUAAACAUCAAGCGACCGAACAGUGAAAAUAAUUAGAGACACCUCCGAUCAAAUAGCGAUGUAAUAUCCCGUUAUCAUAAGGUGAGUGAACUUGCCAAAAAUGUUUUAGGAGUAAGGCACAUGUGGUUCAUUGAGACAUUUUAAUUGUUUUUCUAUAAAAAGGCAUGGGAACAAGCCUUUAGUGAAAUGUUUUUGUGAUGUGGAAUAUGAUUAUGAUGAAUCUAUGUACCUCUAUAUGAUACUGAUAUAUACAUAUAAAAAAAUAGUAAAAUAUGAUAUGUAUUGUUAAGUAUUUUUGUGUAAUUGAUGUAACCGUGCAUGUGCGAAGUGGGCAGUGCACAUGCUGAUUGAAUGACAAUGUUGUGACAAUUAAGACCAUGUAUGUGUGGAGUGGGCAGUGCACAUGCCAGUUGAAUGACAAUUGUAAAACCCGACCCUAUAAAUACAUGUCAUAACAUACAUGCACUGAGUAGCAUGUUAUUAUGCUAGGAAAGUUCCUAAGAAUAGAUGAAACCCGAUAUUGUACCUAACGGUACACUUGAAUUGAUUUAACCUCGAACUAGUUCAAAUAGGAAUCGUAGGAUGAAAUUUAACAUUUUAUAGUCAAGGAAUGACUAAAAAUGAUUGUUCGGAGUUCGAGGGUUCAUUUGGGGAAAAAUUGAAAAUUUUGAUGUUUAGGGGCAAAAUCGUAAUUUUUCCACCCAUGGACAAAAUUUGAGAUUUUGAGAGAAUUUAGAUCAAAUUUGACAAAUUGGAGAAUGGUAUGAGUAUAAGGGAUGAAAAAUAUGUCUAUGGGCAAUUUUUCAAUUUUUGGGACAAAAAUAUAAUUUUUGACUUUUAUUGGGGCAAAAGUGUAAAUUUUAAAAAUUACUCCACCAAGACUUUGGAUAAGCCUGAGAAUUUUAUCUAAGCUAUGGAUAUGUGGGACAAGUGUAUGGUGAAAAUUUUGAAACAAAUGGAUGAAAUUUUCAAAACGGACCAAUUGGAAAGUGACACAUGGCAUUUUUUAAAAAUGGUUUAAUAUUAUUUUAAUGAAAAGUCAGCCCAUUUAAACCCAAAUUUUAAGUGCUGGCCGGCCAUAAGGAAGAACAAGAGAGGAAAUAGAGAGGAAAGGAAGAAAAAAAGAAAAACCAAAGAGAAACAAGAAAAUUCAAAGGGAAAUUCGCGGUUUUCGACCGUUUACGCGUCUAACGGUAAGAUUUUUCGAUUUUAGCUUGAUUUCUACCUUUCCUAUGCCUUUAUUUCCAUUUAGCAUGCUUGAGGAGAGAGAUCAAAAAGUGAUAUCAAGGGCUGGACGAAAUUCUAGGGGAGAGAAAUUGAAAUUUUUAGGUUUUGAUUUUUAGUUAAAUUGAUAGUUUUAGUUAGUUAAAUGUGUUUAGAAAUUAAAUUGGGCAAGAAAUCAUUAAAUUUUCACAAUACCCACUCUUGGCUGGAUGCUCAAUGCUGUACAAUGAUGAUGAAUUGAUUUUAUUCUAAGGGAAAUGAAGAGAAAAUGAUGAAAAACGAUUAAACGUGAUAGAAAAACAAAGUAGAAAAUUAACCGAGUUAAUGUCCCAUUUUUGGCCGAAUUUUCCAAGGAAGGGAGUGAGCUGAUUUUGUUGUUUUUAGAAGGUUAUUGGCUGAUAUUUAAUGGUUAGAAAUGUUGGAGAGAGAAUGGGAUGAUUUAGAGCUAAAAUGGAGCGCGUUAGCAAUUUAUCGGGCAAAGUGCCAAAAAUAGGUUAAUACCGCGUUUAAGCCGUUUUAGGCUAUUGCAUUUCAUACCAUGCAUUAGUAUAGGAUUUAAGUUAAUUAUAUAGUGAUUUAGCAUCAAUGUGAUGAAUUGUGUAAAUUUUUGUAAUGUGUCUAGGAGGAGAGCCUUCCGGAAAAGGCAAAGAAGUCGUACCCGACGAGUAGUGAUCGGGGCGCUUAGAAAGCUUUUAGUUUGUACAAACGGUGAGUAAACUUAUUAUUAUUGUAAAUUAUCUAGAGUUUAUUUUAAAUGCCCUUUAUGUAUUUUAUGAAAUGAGAACGAGAUUAAAACGGGAUUUUUGAUGUUUUAGGAAUAAAUGUGACAAAUAAAAAUAUAUUGUAUUGAUUAUGAAAUUGAGUAAUUGGAGGCUACAAAUUGACUUGAAAAAUAUAUAUUUUCCUAGGAAUGGCUUAUGAGAAAUGAGUAUAUGUGGCUAUAUUUUGUGAGUGCUUUGGGAAAUUUAUGUAAGUUGGUUUUACUAUGCAGGCUGGAUAAAUAAAUAAAAGCCACGUUAUACUGUCGAAAUUUUAUUAAAAUUGGUGGGUUAGUCACUGCAGUGACGGGUUUCCGUGGACUGCCUAUUAGAGGGGCACGGUAAACCCAGUUAUAUAGUUACUCCGGUUGUAGAGGCGAGGAGGGUAACUCCCGGGGUAGUAUUAGAGCUCACUUCACGUCGAACCCCCACGUGAAUGUGUAACUCGGCCAACGCCAAGGAACGGCUGGUUUUAAAAAUAAAAAUGUGUUUCACGUGUGAAUAUUUUAACACCCUUGGCGGACUCGGUUAGAUGCCUCGGCCAAGGUAUCCCCGAGGAUUAGUUUUGGCUUGAGCCUUUUUUUAAUAAAAGACAUAAGCCUUAACAACUGUUUUGGUAAAUUACAAAUAUUUUAUGGUUUAAGAAAUAAAUUGAAAACCUUAUGAAAUGGUUUGUAAUUUGUUGUUUAAACUUGCCUCCAUGUUACUCGCCUUUAGAUAUUUAUGAUAAUGUCUGUUUACUCAUUGGGAUUGCAAAAUCUCACCCACCUCCUUUCCAAACAUUUCAGGUCUGUGGUAGCUUGUAGAUACCCUAUUUUGUCGAGGAUUCCAGUUGACAUCUCUACCACACAGACAGUAGGUUUCUAGCACCAACACUGGGUGUAUUUUGGGCCACUUGUCAUUGUAACCAUUAUUGUACAUUAUAACUUUGUAAAUUUUUGUAUGUGUGAAUUUAUUUUACUUACACGUUACAAAAGAUUUCUUACACGUGUUUCUAUAAAUAUUGUUUUAUAUAAAAAAAUACUAUAUUUUAAUCAAUAUUUUGAAUAGUGAUAUUUAUCUAUAAAUCCUUUUAAAAUAUUUUUGUCUUUUGAUUUACUUGAGCAGGAAACUACUGGAAAUUGUUUAAAAUGGAAUGUUUAAAAACAAUUGCUCACAGAAACGGCAAGAAACUGAUAUGUAAGCCUUGCAGGGUUCUGAUUGGCAUUUCGGGUAAUGAGUGUCAAUUGAGACGUCGCGACGGUUGUCAUGGGCCCGAGGGAGGUUCCGGGUCGCGACAACAAUGUUGUAACAAUUACAACCGUGUAUGUGCGGAGUGGGCAGUGCACAUGUCGACUAUGAUAUGCGUGCAGGGAGUGCACGUUGGCUGAGUGAGGUGGUGGUAUUCGUGUUUAUAUAUAUAUAUAUAUAUAUGUACAUGUGUAAUAGAAGGUUUAUGAAUAUAGUACGUGGUUGUAAUGUAUGUGGAAUCUUGCAUGUUGAACAUUGAAAGUUGUUAAGUAUUUUCAAAUUGAUGUUUAUUGCAGCGAAAAAUGUGCUGUCACGUUGCUACCUUGCUUGGGUUCUGAUAUAAUUUUUUUUCACUCCUCUAUCUUCACGAUUGAGCAUGGGUCUUUGCAACAUUAAGAGUUUACUAAUCAAUGUUCGAAACAAGGGGUUUAAGAAAGAAAUUAAACUAAAUUGCAUUUUUUUCAAAACAAGUACAUCAAGAUUUCUAAACCUUCCUUAACGCUGCUUGUUCCCUUCCUAUGUUCACUAACUGAGUUUGUACUCAUGUUUUCAAAAUUCAUGUUUUAGGUUUCCUAAGUCAAAGGUGGUUGGAUCCUGGGAUGAGGUGUUUCUCCCUAUCCAUAGCUCAGUAGGUUUACCAUGACAUUAAAUGUUAGCAAUUGUGUCCAGAGUCACUCUGCUGACGGUCAAGUUCUAAUUAAGUGUAUAUGAAUACUUGUUGUGGAAUGAUGAGGUUCAUUUGUUAAACUAUAUAUGUGUAUUAUGGUUGAUGAUGCCAUUCUGAAUAUCAUAAUUGGGUUUUAUGAAUUGUUUUCAAAGGGACUAUAUUUGAACAUUAUGAAUCUUGGAUUUUAAAGGGAUAUGAAUUACUGUAUAAGAUUAUACAAAGAGGCUUUCUUGGGCUUAGUGGGCUAAGCCCAUUGGGCCCUCGCACCGGUCAUGGCCCAGAAAUUGGGCUGUGACAAAUACAUACUAGGAUAUUUAUAUAUACAUAAUACAAUGAAAAGUCUUUUUAAAACUUGGGUUCAUUCACAACUCAUUUACAUUUAUAAAAUAGUAUUGGAGAAACAUAUUCAUCAUCAAACUAUUCAAAUCAUGCUUUCAACUUUACAUACUAAAAUAGUUUGAAAGUGGUGUACCCACUCGUACCCACUCAUGUCAAAAAGUUGACUAUAAUCAACAAGCACAACUUACUCCAGCAAAUUCCUUUGAGUUUCAAUUGUUCUUAAACAUCCAAUAAUCCUUGCAAUCAAUAAUUAGUAUAGGAAUCAAGGACUAAGCAUACUAAGUCUUUCGAAGCUAGUCAAAUUCAUCUAAACCUAAAUUUUCAACUUAAAUUUACUACUCUUCAAAUAUCCAUAUAUUUAAAGUUCAAAACUCAUCAUUCUUAUCUUAAGUGAGCUCUAAUCAAUGAGGAAAGGUCAUCAAAUCCUUUAAUUUGAAGUAAUCAAUAAAUCUAGAACAUUAAAUAACAUUUUUAGAGCUAGAAACCCAUGAUUUAAAGAUUCAAAGAGUGGAAAAAAAUCACCUUUGCCGUCAAAAAUCAAAAUCUAAGCUUUAAUCUUCCAAAAUGAUGAUCCUUGAUAAAAAUGGGUUGGGAGUGGCUAUGAGGUGAGGGAAAUCUAAUGAAAAUUGGUUUGGAGUGAAAAACCCUCAUAGAAAAGGUCUUAUUUAUACUUUGAAGUGUAAAAAAUACUCAUUUACCCUUUUUUAUUUUUCAAAAAUUGAUGUAAUAUAUCGAGACAUUUGGCCAUGUAUCGAUAGAUUUAGUUAUGGAUGAAAUUUAUCCAUACAUUUGGCCAUGCAUCGAUAGAUGUUCAUCAGAAUCCUUUUAAAUAGCUCUUUACAUGAAAUCUGAUUACUGUCAAAAUUCACAAGAGUUAGGGGUGGUGCUUGUGUCACUUACACAGUUGACCUUAUCUCCAUAUGCAAUUGGAGUCUCACAACUCUUUUGCUACAUGUUUCUAAUAUCAUCAUGCAUAUCAUGACCUCUAAGCUAAAGCAUAAAAUUUAUGUAGUUACUUAUACAAACAAUGUUAGACACCAUUCUAAUGUGACUAUAUUACCACAUGCUAGAAAUAAAAUCAUCACCAUCCAGUAAAAGCUCGAUCAAAUCAGAAAAAUGAAUUGCAUAAAAACAAGAGGCAAAUAUUGAACAUAAUUUCAUGCUAUUUGUUUGAAUCCAUAAAUGAGAGAGAGAUUCAACAUAAUUUUAAAGAUAUACAUGUUUAUGAAUUUACAAAUGCAAACAUAAAUUAUAAUAACAAUUAAGUUAACCAAUAAUAUAGUAAAAAAAAUAAAGGUAAAAUACCCUUACACCCCUAAGUUUUAAUCGAAAUUCCAAAUUGAUCUGUUAGUUUUCAAAAUGGACACUCCACCCCAAAAGUGUAAACAUCGUUAACAAAGAUAAUAAAAGGAACUAAAUGUCCUUUUUUUCAUUAUUAAUUUAAAAAAUUAUUAUUAUAUUUCUUUCAAAAAACAACUAAAAAAAGGGAGCACCGAUCGGUGCUCCCCAGUUCCCCAAUGGAGGGUAGCAAUGAUCGGUGCUCCUCUUUUUUUUAAUUAGUAAAAAACUUAAUAAAAAUUAUGUAAUAGUAAUUUUUAAAAUUAGUAAAGGGUAAAAUUAUCAUUUCAAUAUUGCCAAAUCAUCAAACUAAUGGAAACACUAAAGGUAGACUAACAAUUGGACCUAUGUGUCCAACAAAAGAUAUUUUUUUGAGGUGGAGUGUCCAUUUCGAAAACUAAUGGACUUGCUUGGAAUUUCGAUUGAAACUUAGGGAGUUGGGGUUAUUUUACCAAAAAAAUAAACAUAGAGUUAGAACCAACCUAUACAUCAUGAGACUUUAACUUGAGAUCUCGAGGUACUUAGCUUAGAGAUUCAGAAAUCAUACAAAUAUAUAAAAAAAGAAAUUCUAUUAUAUUAGCAAAUCUCAAAAUUGUUUACACCAAAUAGAACGAUCUCUUUAUUUCAUUUAAAAGUUUUUCUCUAAUAUUUCUUAUCAUUUUUUCCUGUAAAAAUCUCCAAUCCUCACAUUCUCAUACCUUUAGUUAAUUGAAUCAAUCUAUAUUUAUAUGGUUAGAAAUGACUUGCUUAAGAAGAAGCCCUAUCUUUUUUGGUUUUUAUAUAAUGAGACUUUUUUAUCCCUCAUUGGAGUUGCAAAAUAGUUAAUCAGAAGAACUUUGACUCAAAUUGGAUAUCAAUCAAAUAUUUUUAUGACUAAGACUAUUUGACCCAACACUCUUGGCCCUCUUAAUAUCGUAAAAUUUAAAUAAAUAAUUUAAAGAUAAGUUUAUCAACUUAUGACAAAUCAACUUAAUCAUUAAUACAAUAUUUAGCAAAUGAAUUUUUUCGACAUGGCAAAUAUAAAUCAAUGGGUUUAUAUUUGAUACACUGCUGAUGAAUAAUAUGUCGCGUGCUGGAACUUUGGCCUAACCUUGGGUGACCUUAAACUCUAAAAAUAGAGCUUAAGUAUGUUGGUCCCAUAGGUGUGUUAAAGAAGGGUGAAUAGCACUAAAAAUUUUGAAGUCAACCCUUGAGCUUGUAGAACUCUUAAUCAACCAUAAGAGGAAAGGUUUAAAACUUGUUAAAGUUCAAAGACACCAAGUUAGGGAAGGUAAAGAGAAGUGGACAAAACACAAGUAUUUACAGUGAUUCGGUCCCCUUGACCUACAUCCACUACCUUGAUAUCCCAAUCAAGAGUUUUUGACCAAAGUUCACUAAACUAGUGGAAUUAACAGCUUUCACCAAACUUUUUCAAAUUGAGUUUUUAACCCAAGCUCUAAUCCGUUACAAUAAAUCUUAGAGUGCUUCCCACACUCUAAUGAACUAAUAAAAAAGAAAAAAAAAUGAGUACAUGUGAUUUCGCCUUGCUAAUCUGAGAUAAAUACAAUAAUGCUCAAAACCUUUUACAAGAAUAGAAUGGAAAAUAGAGGUGUAAGAAAAGGUUCCUUGGUUUUUUGCUCAAAAUAUGAUCUUGGUAGCUUUUCUUUUGCUUUUUUGACCAUUGGAUCUUUAAUUUAUACUUCGAGAGUCAAAUUUUUUGUUAGAGAUAGUUUCUAGCCAUUAUGAAUGUGUCUGAUGCCAUUCUAGCUGUUAUCUUAUCUUUUCGCAUUCAAAUUCAAAUAGGCAAGCUUUAACUAAUUAAGCUUUCUCUAACUUGCACUGUCUGGCAACUCUAUUCAUUGUGUUAACUAGUUAAAAAAGGUUCUAACCAAUUAAAAACUUUCUGUUUUCAAAGUUCUAUAACCAAUAGACUUCCUUUAAUUGGUUAAUCCUCCCUUUAACUAUUUGAGGAGUUUUUUCCUUCAAAUUUAACUGGUUGAAAUAAACAUUAACCAAUUAAAAUGUCUCCAAAUUUUGCCCUUCUUCAUUUUGGCUCCCUUCAACAGUCAACUUCACUUUGAAUUUAAACUUUGGUGCUUCAAAGUGCUUCAAGUCCUAAGUUUUAACCGAUUAACCUUUUUACUUAAUCAGUUAGCAAGUUCUAUCUUUAGCUUCCAACACCUUUUUAAUCAAUUAAGCUUGGUGCUAACUAAUUAAGCUUUUUUUGCCUUGCUUUUAUAUAGCACCCACAUUUGCCUUAAAAGAUUAAGGCUCUCCAUUAAUCAGUUAAUGGUGUUCUAUUUUCGUUAACCUUUUUUGCUUUCCCUUUUUAACUUAUUAACCCAUCUUUUAAGUAAGCAAGCUUCUUGACUUGCCUUUAAACAUAAAAUUUAUUAAGGGUUUUAAACUUUGUCCUACGCAUUUAAAUAAUGAAGUUAAACACCAAUAAAUAAAGAAUGUUUUGUUAUCAUAAAAAACAUAUGAAGCCAACAAAGUAAGCCUUAAAACCCAUAAAAUAGUGAAACCAAAAGAAAAGAAAAAGAGAAAGCUUUUGAGAAAUAAAAUGCUUUGUAUUUCUUGAAGGUGUAUUACAAAUGACAAAAAAAGGCCUACUUAUAGGUUGAUGGCCCCCUUUGUUAGAUAAGAUUAGGUCACUAGAUAGGGAUAAGAUAGGAUACGAAAAGAGAUUUAAUUUGAAUGGAUAAUAUUCAAAUUAAAUCCAAAUCUUAAUCUAAUCUAGUAAAUAUACAUAUAAACUUAGAUAUACAUUAGCAAAUCCAAGAGUUCAAAUCAUAUUACAUUACAUAGGUUGGGCUUGUUGUUUGGCCUAUUUGGACUACUUAGCCUACUUGGGGUACUUAGCCUACUAGGGCUGCUUAGCCUUCUCAACCUAUUAACUAUUAGGCCAAUUGGCUUGCAAGAACUAGAUUGAACUCUUGGGUUGUGAUGUCCUCUUUUACUCAAUCCAAUAAUGCCCUCGUUGCUAAGAGAUGCAAUGUUACAUUGCGACCAUCCUCUUACACGUUUUUACUCUAAAUAACUUUAUUUUGUGCACUUUUGGCUUCUACACACUUCUUUGGAAUGCAUUGUCUCCUUAGGCACUUGUUGUGGACCAAUCCUUAUAAGCCUCGAUCCCUUGGUCUCACGAGUGCUUGGUUGGUCUUGACGAUUUUGUGUUCAUAUCUUAGGCUUCCUGGCCUUCAUUUGUGACAAUCUCAUCAUUGCUGAUCUUAGUCUUUCUUAAAUCAUACGACAUACCGUUGUCAUUUGUUGCUCUUUUAAGUGCAACACGACACUACGCAAUCUCAAUAUGCUCCUAGCUCCCUCAGUUGUGGAUGUAAGCAUUUCUUGCCACUACACUAUUCUUUCUCCUUUUCCUUAAGUGUGACCGCUCAGCGAGUCCCUUUACACAUUAGUUGUCACUCUCAUUGCCUAGAUCAUCCUUGUCCAUCAUGAUGGCUUUAAGGUUUUUUCACAUGGGUCAAUCUCUUAUCUAGUGUGAUUCUUCACACAAGAAACAUUUAAGAGGCUUUUUUUCCUUACCCUUCCACUUGGUGAUUGCCUUGGUCUGAUGGCGUGGUGAUUUUUUGUCAACCACUUCCUCUAACCCACUAUCUUUCUCUUUCCCACCGUUGCCUUUUUUCUUAGGCUUGGAGAAGAAAAGAUUAUUGUUGAACUUAUGCAAAUCUACCAAUGAUUCCACCACGGUCAUAGCCUCUAUCACAUUCUGCACACUUCUCCUUUGUUGUUUCAACUUGGCCCAUGGUUUGAGCUUAUCCAUAAACGAAAAUAGUGCUUCCUUUUUACCAAGAUCAUUAAUUUGUUACAAUAAUUUAGAGAAUUGUUUUACAAAUUCUUUUGCCUCACCUUAUUGGGUAAGCCUCCACCAUUUGGCCCACGCCUCGUUGUUUGUGUACUCAAGGUAAAAUUGCUUCUGAAACUCCCUCUAGAAUUUUGCUCCAAUGCUAAUGGUUGAUCCCUCAAGCUUCUUAUCGCACCUAUGUCUCCACCAUAGCAAGGCAAUGUCCAUCAAAUACAUGGCUACGAAAUUAAUUCGUAAAGCAUCCUCUAUGAUGCCUAUGGUUUUGAAGUAUUGUUCCAAGCUCUAUAGGAACAUCUCCUUGGCUUCUCUCUUACCUUGGAAUUCUUUGGGCUUAGCCAUCUUCAAAUGAGUCCCCAUUGAGUGGCCAGUGCAACACCUUUUGUCAUUGCCUCUAAUGCAACAAGCUUGUCCCUAAACCCCUAUACAACCUAUUUCAACAACUUGACCAGCUCCUCCAAUGCCUUAUGUCGAUGGUUUAACGUCUCCACUAUCUCAUACAACUCUUUGACCCCUAACUAAUCCAUGUUGGCCUCGAACUCCUUGAGUUUGUCCCUUGUCUCUCCCACGACCAUCUCCACUCUAGCUACUCGACCUUCGAGAAAAGACAUCAUGUCCCUCAACUUACCUCAUUUAAUUGCACCACUAGUCUCUUAACUUGCUAGACUAGUGCGAACUGGUUCUCUAUCAAUGCCAUUUCUCUUUUCCUCUAACCUGGGCUUUGAUACCAGCUGUCAUGUUCUAGAACUUAAGUCUAACCUCAAGUGAUCUUAAGCUUUGAAAUAGAGCUUAAGUAAGACUUACAACCUAUAAAAUAGCAGAGCAAAAGAAAAGAAAAAGAGAGUGCUUUUCGGAAAUAGAAUGCUUUGUAUUUCUCUAAGGUGUGUUACCAAUGAGGAGAAGGGGUAUAUUUAUAGGCUGAUGGUCUCCUUUGUUAGAUAAGAUUAUGUUACAAGAUAGAGACAAGAUAGGAUAAGAUAAUAGAUUUAAUUUAAAUAGAUAAUAUUCAAAUUAAAUCCAAAUCUAAAUCUAAUAUAGUAAAUCGACAUCUAAACUUAGAUAUACAUUAGCAAAUUCAAAGGUUUAAACCAGAUUACACUAUGUGGGCUAGGCUUGUUGUUUGAUCUAUCUGGCUGCCUAGCCUGCUUGGGCUGCUUGGCCUCCCUAGACUACUUAUUCUACUUAAGCUGCUAACUGUUGGGCUAAUUUGUCACAGCCCAAUUUCUGGGCCAUGACCUGCGCAAAGGCCUAAUGGGUUCAGCCCAGUGAGCCCAAGCAAGCCUAUUUAUAUAAUCUUGUACAUUAAUCCAUAUGUCUUUAAAAUCCAAAAUUUCUAAUGUUCAAAUAUAAUUCCUUUGAAAACAAUUCAUAAGACCCAAUUAUGUAUUCAUAAUGGCAUCAUCAACCAUAAUAUACAUAUAUAGCUUGACAAAUGAGCCUUAGUAUUUCACAUCAAGUAUUCAUAUACACAUAAUUAGACAUUGACUGUCAACGGAGUGACUCUGGGCACAGUUGCUAACAUUUAGUGUCAUGGUAAACCUACUGAGCAAUGGAUAGGGAGGAGCACCUCAUCCUAGGACUCAAUCACCUUUAACUUAAAAAACCUAAAACAUGAAGUUUAAAAAUGUGAGUAUAAACCCAAUGAAUGAACAUAAGAAGGGAACAAGCAACAUUAAGGAAGGUUUAGAAAUCAUGAUGCACUUAAGUUCAAAAACAAUGCAAUUUAGUUUAUUUCUUAUUAAAAACCCCUUAUUCAGACCCUUGGUUGUUUAGUCACUUGAUGAUGAAGGAUCCAUAAACAACAAAGAAGUUGAUGGGUGAAAACUUAAGUAGGAUUCAAGCAAGUCAAACAUAAUAGAUUGAUUCUCGCCACAGUGAAAAGGCAUUCUCGCUGUAACAAAAUUCUGGCUAGAUAAAAUCUAAGGGGUUUUCACUGCCACAAGGAAAGUCCACUCAUGCCACAUUGUACAUUAAAUCAAGCACAUUGACAAUAAUCAAGUUUUCUCAAUAUUCAAUACAGUCACAUAUUAUUUUCAUAACUUUUUCUAUAGCAUAUAAAAAACAUAGUUAUAGCAUAUAUAUAUACCAGCAUGUAUACAACCACCACCUCACCUAUCUCAUGUGCACUUCGCACCGCACAUAGCCAGAGUCAUCAUGUGCACCCCCACAUCAUGCACAACUAAUGCCAUCAUGUGCUCCCCCCACAUCCCGCACAUGGCACAUAUAUCAUCAUCAUCGUGUUCACCCCCACAUCGCGCACAACUAAUGCCAUCAUGUGCUCCCCCCACAUCACGCACAUGGCAUGUAUCAUCAUCAUCAUGUGCACCUCCACGUCGUGCACAACUAAUGCCAUCAUGUGCUCCCCCCCCCCCCCACUCAGGCACAUAGGCAAUCUCAUCAUCCAUACUCCCUCACAUUGUUAUCACUGGCAUGUGCACUCCUACACCGCACAUGCAUGGUCAUAAUUAUCAACACACAACAUAUAUAUAUAUAUAUAUACCAACAAAAUAAAAUAGCACAUGGAUUUGUCACAGUCACAUUCCAUAACGUAACAAUGUUUCAUCAAGGGCUUGUUCCCAUUCAUAUUUUAAAGAAAAGGCCAAUAAAACAUUUCAUGAAAUUCAUUCAAACACAUACGCUUUAAUCCCAAAACAUUUUAAUGCAAGUUCACUCACCUCAAUAAUGGCAACACACAAAACUAACGUCCACAAGGUCUUAAUCCUGGCAGUCUCGAAAUACCAUUAAAACCUAUAUUUACCAAUAAACCAUAAUGAUCUUAAUCAAGUCAUAAAUUAUAUCUAAUAAUUCUAAUAAAUUUACAUUAGGCAAUCUACCCUCUAACCGAACAUUUAACCUACAUUUCUAGUCUAAUUCUUAAACCCAUCAUAUCAACUAUUCCAACUGUAAAGAUUCUUUACCUUGGUAAGCUUGAAGGCAUGAAGAUCAACAAAAACCUAAUAUUUCCAAGAAAAAUAACUUGAAGAAAUUGGAAAAUAAAAUCUGAAAAUAUAAACAUAAAUUCAAAACUUUCAAAAGUUGGAAAUAUAUACCUUUCAGCCUUAAAAAUGAAGAUUUGAAGCCAAAAAUCCAAGUGUUGUUAAAAGUGAAGUAGAAAUAGAAAAUAAAGGAACGAAAGAGAGAUUUUUCUUUCUCUUUUCUAUGGUUUAGAAGUGCUGAAAAUUGGGGUUAGAAGUUGUAGGUUUGGUGCCCAAGAAGUUUGGAGAAGAAAGGAGUAAGAAAAGCAAAAAAAUGAAAAGAAAACAAGGAAAAUCACAUGAAAAUUUUGAUUUUCAUGGAGGUGGAAUGAAAAUGGCAUGGGAAGGAUGAGGAAGAAGAAGAAAAUAUCUGGUGGGAGAGGGUAAGGAUGGUCAUGGCUGAAAAAGAAAGGAGUCAAAGCUUCCUUGGGAAGCUUUAACCAAGCAAAUGGUAAAAUUAUCAUUUUACCUUCCAAGGUUUUCACCCUUUUUAAUUGUAUCCUCCCAUAAUCAUUUAAUUCCAAUUUCUUUCCAUUUUUCUUCCUUAACACUUGUACUAAUAAAAUAUCAAGUUUAUGCUCUAAUGCGGUAUCAUCGAAAUAUUUAAAUAUUUACUUACCGUUGCUAGCUUUAAUUAAUAAAGACACACGGGUCCCAUUAAUGUCAUUUUUCUCUAAAAUUUUCUUAUUCUUCUUCUCCCCCACUUAGAUUGACCAUAUACUCCUCUUUCAUGGAAAACUUCAACACUAAAUAUGUCAAGCCUAGCUCUACAAUAUGUUUAUUAUGCCAUUCUUACAUAAGAACGCAUGUUUGCUUGGGUAUCUUGGAAAUCGUUAAAGGACAGCAAUAUACCAAAUGGUACAAUUAAGAUGAAUUAAGCCUCGAACUAGACCAAAUAGAGAUUUAAAGAUGAAAAUGAGAAUUUUAAAACCCCAGAAUGACUUAAAAUGGUGAUUCGGAGUUUGAGGACCGAUUUGGAGUUAAAUUGGAAGUUUCAUGACCCAAUGGCAAAAUGGUCAUUUUGCCACCCAAGGUUAUAAUUGGAAUGUUGGAAGAAGUUUUUGAUCAAGAUUGACUAUUUAGAACAUAAAUUGAGUUUGAGAAGUGAAAAAUUUUAAUUUCGACAUUUUUUCGACCAUAGGGGCAAAAUAGUCAUAUUGCCACCCUAGGGGCAAAAUUGUAAUUUUACACCACCCAACACUUGUCCAGCACAUGGAUUUUACCCAAUAUUAUCAUGGAUAAUUGAGGAAAUUUAAGUGGUGGAGAGAGAUUGCCUAAUGGGUAAGUAUGACACAUGGACCAAUGGAAUGGUAACAUGUGUCGAAUUCUUAUCCAUUUAUUAUUUUCCUUAUAAAUUAGCACAAAAUCAGCCUAUUUCUCUUCAUAUGGCCGGCCAAAGGAAGAAAAAAAACCCUAGGUCGAAAAAUUCAAGGGAAAAGUGUGAAAAUUCAAGGAAACAAGUGACAAAAGGUAAGAUUUUUCAAUUCUAGCUUGUGAUCUACCUUUCCCAUACAUUUUUUUGCAUUUUUCACGGUUGAAUCACAUGAUUUCAUGAUGGGUAUCUUGCUAGCUGAACACUUAGAGAGAGGUUUUGAUGCUUGAUUUGGUUAGAUUUUAAGAUAUUUUAGUGUUUUUAGUUAGUGAUGUGUAGCAUGAAAAGCCAACAAGAAAAAUUCAUGUUCUUCCAUCACCCAUCAUUGGCCGAAUUCUCCAUGUGGAAUAUUGAGGAUGAUUUUGAUUUUAUUUUAAGUUAUUUGGUUAAGAAUUAGUGAUUUAUGAUGUGAGAAUCAAGUAGGAAAAAUUAUAGUGUUGAUGCACCCACCAUGGCCGAAUUAUCCAAGAGAAAAUGUGAGAAUGAUUUUGCCAUAUUUCAAGUUAUUUAACUUGUGUUUGAUGGUUUGGAGAAUUGGAAGAAAAAUGGAGUUAAUUGGAGUUGAAUUGGACGUAUUGGCCAAUUAAUCGGAUGAUAGAUCGAAUUAGGCCAAUACCGUUUUAUUUAUGUACAUAAUUGAAUUUAUAUGGAACAUCGUAUUUAGAUAGUUACCCGAGUAUUUCACAUCCCAUUUCAUGCAUUAGUAUAGAGCCUGAAUUGGUUUUAUAACAAUUUAGCACAAAUGUAGUAAAUGGCUUAUUGUGCAUUAUGUCUAGGUGGUGAGCAUUCUGGCAAAAGUAAAGAGAUAGUACCCGAGGAUCAAGAAUUGGAGUACUCGGAAUUUGACUCCCUAAAUAAUGAGUAACCUUACUAUCGUCUUAAUUAUCUAAAGUGAUUUUUAUCCGAUUUUGUGAUUUUAUGGAAAAUGAGUUUAAAUGGUAAAUUUUUAGGUUUUAUAAACAAAAUGUGUUAAAAUGAAAUGAUUUUAUAAAAUUGUCUUGAACUUGAAUGAUGGUUUUGAAAAUGGAGUAAUUGGAGACUAAUUGUUGUGUUCCAAAACAUGGUUUGAAUUGAAUGGCUUAUGAUAAUAUUUGCAUGAAUGGCUGAAUUGGUAUUUGUGUUGAAAAUGUAUGAACAGUUAAUUUGCCUUGAGAGGUUGUAAAAUAAAAUAAUUGUCAUGUCAUGCUACUGAAUUUUUAUUGUAUGAUGGGUUAUAAAUUAGUCGCUAUAAUGGACGAGUUCCGUGGACUAGCCUAUUAAAGGGGGCACGGUAACCCUAUUAUAUUCAUACCUCAAUAUGAGAGGCGCGGAUGGAUAACUCCUGAUGUUAACACUUUAAAGUUCACUUCACGACAAACCACCACGUAAGGGUGAACUCAGCCAAUGCCAAGGAACGGCUAUGUUUUCAAAAUAAAAACAUGAUUUAUGCGUACAUAACUUUUUAAAAGCCUUGGUGGACUCGGUUGGGAUAGCCCUCGAUCAAGGUAUCCCUGAUAACUGAGUAUGAGAAUGAUUUUGGCACGAGCCAAAGUUUUAAGAAAUUCAUAAGCCAUGUUGAUUACUCGAUUUAUAUAAAUUGAUUUUGUUUGGUUGAAACAAGUCGAAAGGUGAUGAAUUACAGUAUGUUAAACUAUUUUAUCUGUCUCCAUUUACUCGGCUUUAGAUAUUUUAGAUGGUAUUUGUUUACUCACAGGGAUUAUAUAAUCUCACCACCCUCCUCUCCACCCAUUUCAGGCUUAGAAUAGGCUGUAGAUAGCUGAUUUCAUCGAGGCUACCAUUGGAUUUGCAUCCUCCAAACUGUAGGUUCACAGUGUUUCUUACUUUUGGUUAUUCGGGGGCCCACUGGUUAUUGUAAAUUAAAUUAAAUGCUCUGGUUUACUAUAUUACAGUAUGUAUGAAUUUAUUUUGCUUUUACGCUGCAAAAAAUUAUUUACGUAUAACUCUAAAAAUAUUAUUUUAUAAAAAAAUAAAAUAUUCUAUUAAAUAUAUUUUUUAUUUUUUUAUUAUAUCCAAAUAAUCAUAAUUUCAUUUUAAAUGAAGGUUAUAGACAUUCAAACUUAUUUUUUAUUAUGAAUUAUGUGUUUUAUACUCACAUACUACAUUUUUAGCUGGUUUCGAAAUUUUUGAGAAAAAAUGAACAAAAUGCCCCUGUGAGAAAAAAAUUAUUUUUCUAUUGUUUUGAUUUUGAAAUAGUUUAUAAUCCCUCAAAACAUGAUUUUAGUAACUAAUACUCACAGAGGAAGCGAGAAAAACUGAUGUUAAGCCUUGCGAGAUUUCGAUUGACAUUCCGGUUAAUGAAUGUUUAUCGAGACGUCACGACGAUUGUCACGAGCUAGAUGGGAGUUCCAAGUCGUGACAAAAUAAAAUAUUAAUAUUUUAUUAAUAUUUUAUUAAUAAAAUAUUAUUUUAUUUCAAAAUUUUUCUCUUGUCUCCUUGGUAUCCAAAAUACCUUAUUAUGCCUCAAUUCACUUCCGAAUCACUUUUUAUCUCACAAAUUCUUUUCCGAUAAAAAUAUUAUUGUUUUAUUAUUAUUUCCUCGCGUGAGGAAUAUUUUAUCCCAAACUAUUUCAUUCAUCUUUCAUCACUUUUUAAACAUUAUAAUUAACCUCAAUUGGCAUCGGAUAAGCUUUAUUAGCCACCAUGUCAAAGUACGGGGUAUUACAGUCUCCCCCACUUAAAUAGAAUUUGUCCUCGAAUUCGUGUCGGUGUCGGGUUAUUAAUCUCAUUCUAUGAUCUUAUUCCAUCCUUUCCUUUAUAGGGAAUAUUGAUUUAUUCACCUCAUUUACCUCUAGUUCAACUGGAAUACUUUAUUUAUGUCUGUUAUCAUCUUUUAGAAUCAAUUCGGCAGUAACCUUCACAAACAUUAUCUCUCAUAGUAAAACGUCAAGUAUGCCUUUAUCACCAUCACUGGAAUUGAACCAUAACUCCGUCUCAAUCAUAUUGAUUUCAAUCACAUGUUAUACUUACUUAUAUAUACCUAAUUGCCAUCUUAUUACUCCAUUCCUUGUCAAAGUUCUCGACACUCAUUCACUUUAUCCCCAUACACUAUUACAUAACUUAUGGCAUCAUGAACAUGCCCUAUUCAUUCCUAUACCUAUUUCCAACAUUUUGGGGAGUUGAAUCUUUCAACCAUUCCUUCAUACUUCAUGUUUUUCCAGUAUUUAUGCAACUUAAGUCUUCUUAAUCAUAUUAGUCCAUCUUGUAUGGCUUAAUCACACUUUAGAUUACACUUUCUUAAUAUCAUUUCUUUGGAUAUUCCUCCAAAAUUUCUUAUAUCAACAUAACUCCAUUUCUGAUGGAAUUUCUUAUCAUUAUAUUAUCCAUACAACUCAUCAAAUAUAUCGAGUUCAAAUCUCAAAUCUCUAAAAAUAGUUCUUCAUUUUAGUUGGUCACAUCGUCAAUUCCACACAUAUGUAUGUACACACACUUCUAAAUGUCAACAUUCCUCAUUAUGUGUAAGGAUAUUUGUGUUCAAGUGCCUUUGAACUAAGUUUCCCUUUAUUUGUUUCCUAUCCAUAACCAAAAUUUGAUAUAAUAAUUCUCAUAUUUAAUCUAUAAACAUUGGGGUACAAUCAAUUUUAGAUUACCCUUUUUAUAUGUUUAACUCACCAUUCCACUUGCCUCUUACCACAAGUUACCUCUUACAUAAUCCAUACGAAUUCUCAUUAUGCCUAUGCAUAACUUCACAUCAUGUACAUGCCUAUACUGCUUUCUUAUCCUUUCCAAUUAUAUGCUUAAGUAUCAUUAUACUAUAUAUCCUUGUUGUGCCUCAAUUUUAAUGAGUCACUUAAGACUUAGACUCAUUCGAAUCAUGCAUGUUUCAAGCAUUUUUGAAUUUCAAUUUCCAUCAUAUAUUAUGAGGUUUUCAUUAUCUGACUUCAUUAUCAAGGUUGCCUUCACUCAUCCUUUGCUCUAUUCUUUCAUACUAAUAUAACAUCAUUCUCCCAUAGGCCAUUUACAAUAUGUACUUGAAAUUACAAGACUUAAAACAAGGCUCUUCUCACGUAUUUCUUAAUGUCAAUGUGAAUAUCACUUUUAGCUUAUGGCGUCCUUUUUGUAACCACACAACUUAAUGCUUGUUUUCACAAGAUUCAUAGUAGGAUUCCUUUUGAGUAUUUCCUUGCAGAUACCCACCUUAAACUUUAUGUCUCACGUCUCACCGCACAUGAUCACAUAACCCGUGGUUUAGCCGUUAGGCUCCUUAGCAAGUUUCAAAAUCCCACAUGUUAUACUAGCCACUUAUCAUUGGUAAUUCCCUUUCAAGGAUGUUUAUACAUUCCUGAAACACUUAAUCACUUAUUUGCUCUUUAACAUCCCGAGCAUAUCAUUCCAAAAACAUGCACUUAUUCUCCAAGAUAUGUAAAUGCAUACUCAUCUAUUCCUAUUUCAAUUUAUCCUCAUGGGUUUCUAGCAUGCCACAUAAUUGGCCUUGUAUUGUUAUUAAUCCUCUUCAUUCAACUAAAUCAAGACAAGAUUUGUAAAUUUUCAUAGCAAUACUUUAUAUUAACUCAUUUGCUAUGCCACCCUUGUAAUUCUUUAUUCACAAUUUCAUCACUUGGUAUUGACAUCCCUUGUCAAUGUCUCAUACAAUCAUCUAACCUUUCACUCACUUUUUCCUUAGCCUUUAACAAGGCUUAAUCUCUUGUCUUUUUCAUUUCUUAGGAUUUGACUUUGUCAACAUAUUAUUCAUUUUAACACUCCACAUGGUAAUUUAUCUUAAUGUAGCCAUCUCAAGAACUCUUUAACUCUUCUUUUUCUUACAUGUCAAUAUAUAAGGCAUUAAAGAAACCUUUCAAUUCCCUCAUAUAAACACUUUUCCACGUACUUAAAACUCCAAAUAACUAAGCCCAACAUCAAGACCAAUGACGAUAAUUCAACUUGUGAGUUUCAUCUUCAUACCACUCACAAUUUGCUCACGCUUCCUAGCCAUGAGAGAUUCUUAACACGAUAGUGUUGGGCAAUUAGCGCUGCAGUGUUGCAACUACUGGAAUUUUUACUUUAUCGAAGUAAUUCUUCUACCUUUAAGGCUACGGCACCAAUCAUUCUCAACCGCAUGGCUUCCAUUUAAGCCUAUACCAUAAUUUCCAUCAUCAUGUGUAUCUUCAUUUUGCUUAUCAUAUGCAUUAGGCCAAGUCAAUACCUUCAACUCAUAUUAUCCUUUAACACUCAUCAUCAAUCAUUAAGUCCCACCUUAAGACAUCCUCUCCAUAUUGUGUAAUGACUUCACAAGAUAUAUAUACAACACCACACACAUAACUACUCAUUAUUUAUGACAUCCCACAAUUCCUAUCAUCCAUAAUUAAUUGUCUUUCUUGUCUUGUAACUCAAAUAGUUUAUUGACAUUUCAGUAUAAACGGCCAUGAAAAUAGUUCAUCUUUUCCACACUUUAUACUUGCAAUCCUUACUAAUCAAUAAUUCAUCUUCCUCAAGUUCCAUCAUUUACCCCCAAUGGUCUAUAUUUAUGCCAAAUUAUCAAUUUAUAAUGUCAUGGCACCAUGUGCCUCCAUUCUUACCACCAAUCAUACUUUAUAAGAAAUAAUUAAAAGACUUACACAUCCUUUUCUUCUUUUAUACAUUGCACAACUUUUUUGGACCUACCUACACACUACAGAUAUGAAGUACCUUGUAUUUUGAUACAAUGGCUAAUAAAGUUUAUGGAUGCCAAUUUAGGUUGAUUACUAAGUUAGAAGGGUAAUUCAGAAGUGAACCUUUGAAAUCUCGAUCUCCAUAGGCACAUAACUAGAAGUAGACGCGAUAAUGCAGACCGAGGGUAAUUUCAUAAUUUCUCUUAGUGAGCUCCUACGAGUGGUUUUUUUUUAUGCUAUUAAGGUAUAAAUAGGCCUAAGGAAUGAAUGAAUGAUGUUUAUGAUGGAAAAUAAAUGAGGAAGAUAAAAAUAAUGAUAAUUUCCACGAUAGAGGCAAAAUGCUCAUUUUGCAUCUCGAGUCUAAAUUUUUAAGUUUUGUGAACUCGAGUACCUUUAGACUAUUAUGGACUUUGUUUCGGUCUCAAAAGAGUAAAAAGGUUGCACAAAGGAUGGGAGGAAGACAAAACCACCAUGUUAAGGGCAUUUUGGUAAUUUUGACGAAAAUUUGGAUUAACUUGAAGCAUAAAUAUUUGAGCUCUAGCAGCUUCCAGCAGCUUCUCCUUUUUCUUCUUCUUCCCUUUUCUACGUUCCUUUAAUCCUCCAUGGAAGCUUGCUUUGCAACUUCCAUAACUUUCUCUCUCUAGCUCCAAUUUUUAUGCUUUUGUGCACUUUUUCAUAGAACCUUUGUGCUCUUUCACUCUCUCACCUUAAAACCCUUAAAAAGUCUUGGUUCAACACUUUCUCUCACUAGUUGAAAAUUUUAGAGAGACAAAAAGAGAGACUUUCCAUGAUAGCUUGAGUAUUCUUGAAAAAGAAUUCAACUACAAAUCCACCAAGGUGAGUAAUGAAUGAGGACUGAUUUUAGGUUGUUGAUAAUGGCUAGUAAUUAGAGUUGUGAGUUAUUUUAUUAUUAAGGUUUGUUUAUUUAUUUCUAGAGUUACUAGAGUAGAAAGAAUAGAUAGCCAUUUAAUGGCAAUUGGAAGCUAGUUAGGAAUAACUAGUGGAACUUGAUUAAGAAAGAGCUUUUGGAACUAUAUUAAUGCCAAUUUGGGUUGGUUGUGAUGUUGUGUGUGUGUAGGUUCCAACAAGGCCUCACAUGUCCAUUUGGAGCAUUAGUUAAGGUUAGAGUCAAGCAAAAGAAUUAACAUGACCAGUGAGUUAACUUGCAUUUCAAAAUUGUUUUGGGAAUGUGAAUGUAUUGAACAAAACCUUUGAAUGAUUUUAUCCAACUUUUCUUAAAAAUGGGUGCCUUGGGAACAAGCCCUUAAUAAAUUGUCUCUAUAUUGUGACUUGUGGCUGUUAUGGAUUCAUGCACUAUUACAUUGUGUUGGUAUGCAUAUUUGAAUGUAUGUUGUGCAAUGAUAAAUAAUGUUCUAUGAUGAUAAUGAGGUGUGCGAGUAGGGAGUGCACACAUGAUGACAUUGAAUUGUGCGAGUAGGGAGUGCACAUAUGGUGGUAUUGACUUGUGCGUGUAGGGAGUGCACAAGAGCUGAGGAAGGUGGGGUGGUGUAGGUGUUAUAUAUGAUUAUAUCUAUAGAUAUGUGAUAGAAUGUGUGUGAUUGUAAAAUGUGAUUGUAUGGCAAGUUGAAAUUGGCAUGAUGAACCUUGAGAAUUUUCCAUUUUCUUGCAAAUUGAUUUUUAUUGCAGCACCAAAUGGAUUUUUAGCGCAAAGGAGGUCCUUUUUACACUUAGGUGCCCUGCUUCUCGCUACAGUGAGAAACAUUAUGUUUUGGCAGCCAACAACUUGCUUCAGCGAGAAUAAAUCUCACUGCAGGGAGAAACUCUCAAGUUCUGAUGCAGUGCUUUCACUUUGAUAAAGCUUUUGACCACCUUUCUUUCGGAACUGGAAAAAGUGGUAAACAUAAAAGUUGUAUCCCUUUCUCUUAGCUUUCUAAUGGUCUAAAAAUCAGGUCAAUUGGACUUCUGUAAUAGGUGAUAUGAUAGAAAAACUAAAACACAUGCAAACAACACUAUUUCUUGCUGCAGCGAGAAUGAACUUCGCUACAACGAGAAACUUGCUGCCAUGCUUGCUACCUUACUUGAUUUUGACCUAUUUUUCACCCGUUUAAGUUCAUGAAUUGAUCAUGGGUUUGUAAAACACUAUGAGGGUAUUAAUCAAAGUUUGAAAUGAGGAGUUUUUAGUAAGAAAUUAAAUCAAGUGCAUUGUUUUUUAAACAAGUGCAUCAUGAUUUCCAAAUUCUUCUUAUCGAUUGCUUGGUCCCUUCUUAUGUUCACUCACUGAGUUUUAUACUUACAUUUUUAAACUUCAUGUUUUCAUAUUCGAAGGCAAGUUGGGACCUAGAUAUAGUCGCACAUAUAUGCUCGCCUUCUUGGUAGGCACUAUGGUAUUUCAGUAGCUGUACCUUCACCCACGGUCACUCCACUAACGGUCAAGAGUCUUAUGCUUGUGUACAUGUAUAAGUAAUGAAGACCAAUAGGAUUCAUGUUAAAAAUCAAAUAUGUAUAUUUGAUUACUAUUGCCACUAUAAGGUGGCAAAUUGGUGAUACUAUGUUAGCAUAAUACAAAUGUGAAUAUUGGAUUGCUAUAAAAUGUUACUGAAAUAUUUGUAAUUGAGAAUUGUAAUAUGUGGUUUUAGAAAUGACGGUUGAGAAUGAUGAUUAGGAUUGGAUAAAAAAAAAGGGCUUGCUUGGGCUUAGUGGGCUAUGCCCAUUGGGCCCAUACGCCGAUCAUGGCUCGGGAUUUGGGUUGUGACAAAUGUGGUAUCAGAGCUAUAGGUUUAGUCCAGUCCUAAGGAUUUUCGUGUCAAUCAGCGGAGUUGUCAGAGUUAAUGUAGAGUCUUGUCUAUCGUUUGUGACUACAGCACAAGUCAUAGACAGGAAGCUAUAUGAACUCCUAUUCCUAGUAACCUACCCUUUUGCUAUCGUCAUGUAAAAGGCAUAAAUGGUAUCGCUGCUCGGGUUUGAGAUGCCACUCGAGACACAAACCAUUAUUGGAAAGAUUUUUAAGCAAGUGCUCCUAAUGAAAGGUUAACAUAAUGAUAUAUUCCUCUAACUAAGGAUGGAGGAAGGUGGAGUUGGACUGUUAUGUCCGUAAUAAUUUAUUUAUUUGGUGGAAUUAAGAUUCGAACCCAUGGUUAUCAAAAAAAAAUUAAUUAAAAUUUUGGAGACUAUGGAUUGUAUUUGAGGUCCAUAUAGGGAGGAUGUACGAUAAUGGUAAUAAAAGCAGUAUUUGAUUGGAAUGAAUAGUGAAUGUUAUGACUCACUUGAGGUUUAUAAAUUUAAAUAUUGAGAAAAGUGUAAACCAAUGUUUAUGUGCAUGGACGUAAGUGCACUAUGUUAAUUGAGCUUGACAUGCCCCUAUAGAAAUGGUGUGGGCUUUUGAAAUAUUUUAUAAGCGUAUAAGUGUUGAAUAUGUGUAUAGUAGCUUAAAUAGGGUUGGUUUUGAUUCUAAUUAAGUAAUUGUGAGAUUCUAAGUCUUGAAUUGAAUUAUUAUGGUUUAUAGUUAUAAUUGCAUGAAUUAGCUCAAGGGUGAAAAUCACUGAUUAUUACAAUUGAUGUAUGGUUGUGAAGUAAAAGGCUAGUAAAUGAUCUACUCUAAGGAUGAGCUUGAAUUUUGCUAUGCCUAGUGUGGAGCCAAAGGAUUAGAAGACUAGAUGUGGAUUUAGCAGUUUGAAAUUAAAUGACAUGGAAAUGACAAAUUUAGUCUAAGUGCCAUAUCGAGUUCUAUAUGAAGAUCGAUAUAUAAAUUGCUUUAAAGGUCCAUUUAAAAAUAUGUUUGGUUCGAUAUGCAACCUAUGAUGUAAAUGAUUAGUCUUGAAUGUGACUUCUCCAUAGGUCAGGGACUUAAAACAUGUAGAUUUUCGGAUAUGCUCUAAGAGGAAGCUUCUGCAUCCUAAGCUUAAGAAAUUUUGAUCUUAUGACUGCAAAGGCAAGAUACAAAAAUUAUGUGAAUUGUCUAUCUUAUGGAUGUAAUUGGUUAAGAAUUGAUGAGUAAAGUCAAGAUCUGAACACUACGUGGUGUACAAUUUGAUAUAUGUGUACCUAGGAGUAAAUUUGGAGAUCAUUGCUUAAUCAAUUUACACUGAAUGGUGUGGUAAAGGUAUAUGAAUGUUGGUAGUGAAGUAUGUCCAAAGUGAGAUAUGUGGAGAUUAAUGUUCCGAUCACAAACUUGUGAUAGAAAGCUAGUUUUGUAAAUUGUGGUUUUUAUGACCAAGAAAUAUAUGGAGGUUACCAAUAUGUAAGCCUACACUCGAAGUUGUAUAUCUUGUGAUUCGCAUUCAUUGUAUGGAAGGAGAUAUUCCAUAAAAGGAUUUGGCCUAAUUGGUGAUUACAAGACUAUAGGCUUGGUAUGAGAUUAAGAAUGAUUUAACAUGUAUAAGAAGUGUGUUGCGAAAGGCUGAAAGUCAUUAAGACGAAUGAUGGGUGAAACAUAGGUGUUGUUAGGAUGAGCAUAAAAAGCUCAAGGAUAAUCAAUGCAAUUAUAUUAAGUUAGUUUGGUUCGGUUCGAAAUAAAAGUAAAGACAUCUUGAAAGAUCUUAAAAUAAUGUUCAAUGGGGUUAAUGAGCUAAAUGUUAUCGAAUAUAUAUUAAAUUGUUAAAGUUAUGCGUGGCUUUGAAGAUAAGCCUUUGAUUGUCUAAGUCCUCAACAAAAUUCUAUUAAAGGAUGUGUUUAAGCAUUUUGCAAGUAUAUCGAAAAACAUAAGAAUAAUAUAUUAGUUCGACUUCCUAUAAGAGGUCGAAUUUGGAUGGCCAUGAGUGAUUUGUGAACAAUCAAGCAGUGUAAAGUAUGUGCUCAUAAAGGGAGCUAUGAUUGGUAAAUAAAGGUGGAACUUUAGAAUUUCAUUGUCAUAGUUAUUAGAUUAUAUUUUGUAUUAUAUGAUAUAGUGUAGAACAUCAAUGAUGAGGCUUUGUUCAAUGCUUUAGGCCUUGAACUGUAAGAUAUGGACAUGUAUCCACCUUGUGAAUACCCUGAUGAGAUAAAUUCGAAAGACUUUUCACAAUGAGAAAAUAUUAAAACUCAAAGAGCAAAUGGCUAUACAAUCAAGUUGGGCUCGUGACUGACAUGUCACAUAAGUAUGACGAUAUGAUACAAGCAUAAGUAUACUUGGAAAUGCUGGUUUAAGGCAAUGAUUAUCCUACCGUUUUGUGGACCCGAUGAGGUUCUGGUCUUGACAUAAUUAUAGACGCAAGGCAUAAAUUAUGAAAUGUGCUUCCGUCACAAGUUCCAAUUUAUUUUGAGUAAUUAUCAAGGUCAAGUGCUUGGUAAGGAUAGGCAAAGGUUGAAUUGUGUUUAAAAUGUUUAGAGAAUGAGGGUGACAUGGUUUGAUUAAAUGAUACUACCCUUGGUAAGGGAAUAGAAAUAUGCUACAGAAAUUGCAGAAAUCUACUUAGAAAAGAUAUGAUGAUUUGAGAAUUCAUGUACUCAUAUACGAGUAAAGAUUUGGUAAUGAGACAUGACCUAAAGUUGGAGUACUACAAUAUGAAUUUUGACUAAGAAAAUCGACUUAUAAAACACAUGGUGUUUAGAGAUGGAGCCAAUUAGUGGUUGACUCUUGUAUGAGAAUGGAAUAUUGAAAUCAACUUUCUGUAUUCACUACAAAUGAUGAGCAUGAUCUAACCAACCAAGAGAAGAAAUGAUUCUAAGCUUGAUUGUUGGUUAUUUUGGUUUUACAAAUGGCUUCUUGAGCUUGAUAUGCCUAAGGCUAUUCGAAGUUAAAAUUUUUGGAAAUAUAUAUGUAUGGAUAUAUAUGUUGCAUAUUGGUAUAAAAGCUCAUGUGGAGUUAUUUAUAAUUUCAUUCAAUGAUGAUAUUCUAUCAAUGGUUAUAGUGCUAGACAAUGAUUAAGAUAAUUUAUCACUGAUUUUGGCUGUGAACAAGUGGAUUAUAAUGCUGUUAGCUUAAAAAUAAGUGUUUAUACUUUUGGUAUGAGUUCAUCAAAUUCUAUUAUAUUGUGAUAAAACUUGGUGUUUUGAUAUAGCCUGAGACGCUUGGCAUAUGAACUAGCUUAAUUAUCAGCUAGAAAUUGUUAGGUUAUUAUGAAGUACACAAAUAUAGAAGUAUGACAUGAAUUUAAUAUCCUAAGGGGCAAUGGAAAAUGAUGUAUCAGUUUUGGUAUAGCUUCAAUAUAUAUAGUUUUGAUAUAUAAAGAUGUGGGAAAAAGUUUAUAGCUUAUGCAUAAAGGUGUGCAUUUGAAUUCGUAUAAUUAAAAGUGUAAAAUCUGCCUUGAUUGGUAUAAAACUCAUGAUUCAAAAUGAAUGAUUAUGGAUUUAAUUUUCUAAGGUAAAAAGGACUAAAAGAAGUUAAUAUUAGAAAGGUCUUAAUAGAUGAUUCUUUGAUUUUAAAGUACACUUAAAGAGAGACAAGUAUCUAAUUUCAUCCUCGGAUUGAUAAACUAAUGAGGCCAUGAGAUCUGAUGUUUGGGGUAAAUUUGAGAAAUAUCAAGUUAGAUAUGUUGUAGGUGAUUGAUGAUGAGCAAAUUAGCUAUGACAUUGGAAAUAUAGAAAUGAUUAGUAAUCAAAAUGAGACUUGGAAAGGAACUUUAAAGGGAAAAUUUUGAGCAACUUUAAUCUCGAGAGGUUGAGUUAUUGAUUAAAGAGAUUGGUUAAGAUUAUAAAAGGGUAUGUGGAAUGUCAUGAUUUAUUGAAAUGCCUUGUGGUAUAAGUUGAGAUUUAUCUAGUGAGCACUCGAUCAUGAAAGUAUUGGAGUUUGUUUUUGGGAAAAUGGUUACUAAUAGCUACUAGAUUUGAAUCAUCCAUGAUCUUAUAUAUAUCUAAAAUAAACAAAGGUUGUUUUGAUCCUUACAUAUUAUCAAAUGCUCGAAUGGAAUUUGUAUGGAAGUAUGUAAAAUGGAAUAGACGUUGGUUGAUGAUUUAGACCUAUAGUCAAUGGUGGAAUAAAUGCUUAAAUGUUGGAAGGUUUGAUAAAAGGUCGAGGUAGAGGAAUUGUGGAUGGUUAAGUAAACAUGUAUAAUUGAUAAUUUAAGGACAAUUUGAUUGAGGUGUGACCAGAAUUCAUAGCUUAUUUGAAUUCUCUUCAUAAGAUGAAGGAUGAUACUGUUUUGAUCCUACAAUAGUAGUACACAUAACUAUAUACUAUGACAUUGUCGAGUUUUCUAUAACACUAGAAGUUGAUAUGAUGCAUAAACCAAGAUUCUAUGUUAAGAAUGCCUAACGAAAGUGAUGUGGCAGAACUUUAGAACUUUGAUUAUUCACCUUACGUCGAUUUGAAUUCGAGGACGAAUUUAUUUUAAGUGGGGGAGACUGUGGUACUUUGUAUUUUGAUACGGUGGCUAAUAAAGUUUAUGGAUGCCAAUUUAAGUUGAUUACUAAGUUAAAAGGGUAAUUCAAAAGUGAACCUGUGAAAUCUCGAUCUUCAUAGGCACAUAAUUGAAAUAGUCUCGAUAAUGCAGACCAAGGACAAUUUCGUAAUUUCUCUUGGUGAGCUCCUACGAGUGGGUUUUUUUUAUGCUAUUAAGGUCUAAAUAGGCCUAAGGAAUGAAUGAAUGAUGUUUAUGAUGGAAAAUAAAUGAGAAAGACAAAAAAAUGAUAAUUUCCACGGUAUGGGCAAAAUUGUCAUUUUGCAUCUCGAUUCUAAAUUUUUAAGUUUCGUGAACUCGAGUAGCUUUAGACUAUUAUGGACUUUGUUUUGAUGUCAAAAGAGCAAAAAGGUUGCACAAAGGAUAGGAGGAAGACAAAACUACCAUGUUAAGGGCAUUUUGGUAAUUUUAGUGGAAAUUUGGAUUAACUUGAAGCAUAAAUAUCUGAGCUCCAGCAGCUUUCAACAGUUUCUCCUUCUUUUUCUUCCUCCCCUUUAACGUUCCUUUUAUCCUCCAUGGAAGCUUGCUUUGCAACUUCCAUAACUUUCUCUCUCUAGUUCUAAUUUUUAUGCUUUUGUGCACUUUUUCAUAUAACCUUUGUGCUCUUUCACUCUCUCACCUUAAAACCCUUAAAAAGUCUUGGUUCAGCACUUUCUCUCACUAGUUGAAAAUUGUAGAGAGAGAAAAAGAUAGACUUUCCAUGAUAGCUUGAGUAUUCUUGAGAAGGAAUUCAACUACAAAUCCACCAAUGUGAGUAAUGAAUGAGGAUUGAUUUUAGGUUGUUGAUAAUGGCUAGUAAUUGGAGUUGUGAGUUAUUUUAUUAUUGAGGUUUGUUUAUUUAUUUCUAGAGUUACUAGAGUAGAAAGAAUAGAUAGCCAUUUAAUGGCAAUUGGAAGCUAGUUAGGAAUAACUAGUGGAACUUGAUUAGGAAAGAGCUUUUGGAAUUAUAAUAAUGCCAAUUUGGGUUGGUUGUAAUGUUGUGUGUGUGUAGGUUCCAACAAGGCCUCACAUGUCCAUUUGGAGCAUUAGUUGAGGUUAGUGUCAAGCAAAAGAAUCAACAAGAAUGGUGAGUGAACUUACAUUUCAAAAUUGUUUUGGGAAUGUGAAUGUAUUGAACAAAACCUUUGAAUGAUUUUAUCCAACUUUUCUUAAAAAUGGGUGCCUUGGGAACAAGCCCUUGAUAAAUUGUCUCUAUGUUGUGACUUGUGGCUAUUAUGGAUUCAUGCACUAUUACAUGGUGUUGGUAUACAUAUUUGAAUGUAUGUUGUGCAAUGAUAAAUAAUGUUUUAUGAUGAUAAUGAGGUGUGCGAGUAGGGAGUGCACACAUGAUGACAUUGAAAUGUGCGAGUAUGGAGUGUACAUAUGGUGGUAUUGACUUAUGUGUGUAGGGAGUGCACAGAGCUAAGGAAGGUGGGGUGGUGUAGGUGUUAUAUAUGAUUAUAUCUAUAGAUAUGUGAUAGAAUGUGUGUGAUUGUAAAAUGUGAUUGUAUGGCAUGUUGAAAUUGGUAUGAUGAACCUUGAGAAUUUCCCAUUUUCUUGCAAAUUGAUUUUUUUUGCAACACCAAAUGGAGUUUUAGUGCAAAGGAGGUCUUUUUACACUUAGGUGCCCUGCUUCUCGCUACAGUGAGAAACAUUCUAUUUUGGCAGCCAACAACUCGCUACAACGAGAAUAAAUCUAGCUGCAGCGAGAAACUCUCGGGUUCUAAUGCAAUUCUUUCACUUUGAUGAAGAUUUUGACCAUCUUCUUUUCAAAACUAGGAAUAGUGGUAAACAUAAAAGUUGUAUCCCUGUCUCUUAUCUUUCUAAUGGUCUAAAAAUCAGGUCAAUUGGACUUCUGUAAUGGGAGAUAUGAUAGAAAAACUGAAACACAUGCAAACUGACAUUGUUUCUUGCUGCAGCGAGAAACUUGUUGCCAUGCUUGCUACCUUGCUUGAUUUUGACCUAUUUUUCACCCAUUUAAGUUGAUGGAUUGAUCAUGGGUUUUGUAAAACACUAUGAGGGUAUUAAUCAAAGUUUGAAAUGAGGGUUUUUUCGUAAAACCCGACCCUAUAAACACAUGUCAUGACAUACAUGCACUGAGUAGCAUGUUAUUAUGCUAGGAAAGCACCUAAGAAUAGACGAAACCUGGUACCGUACUUAACGGUACACUUGAGUUGAUUUAACCUUGAACUACUUCAAUUAGGAAUCGUAGGAUAAAAUUUAAUAUUUUAUAGUCAAGGAAUGACUAAAAAUGACUGUUCAGAGUUCGAGGGUUUAUUAAGGGUAAAAUUGAAAAUUUUGAUGUUCAGGGGUAAAAUUGUCAUUUUGCCACCUAAGAUAAUAAUUUGAUAAUGGAGUGAAACUUUUGACCAAGAUUAACUAUUUGGAGUAUAAUUUAAUGAUAGGAAGUGAAAAAUUUUAAUUCUGGUGAUUUUUGGAGUGUAGGGGCAAAAUCAUAAUUUUACCACUCGCGGACAAAAUUUGAGAUUUUGAGAGAAUUAAGAUCAUAUUUAACAAAUUGGAGAAUGGUAUGAGUAUAAGGGAUGAAAAAUAUGUCUAUGGGCAAUUUUUCAAUUUUUUAGGCAAAAAUGUAAUUUUUCACUUUUACGGGGGCAAAAGUGUAAAUUUCAAAAGUUACUCCACCGAGACUUUGGAUAAGUCUGAGAAUUUUAUCUAAGCUAUGGAUAUGUGGGACAAGUGUAUGGUGAGAAUUUGGAAACAAAUGGAUGAAAUUUUAAAAAUGGGCCAAUGGGAAAGUGACAAGUGGCAUUUUUUAAUGAUAUAAUAUUAUUUUAAUGAAAAGUCAGCCCAUUUAAACCCCAUUUUAAGUGCUGGCCAGCCAUAAGGAAGAACAAGAGAGGAAAUAGAGAGGAAAGGAAGAAAACAAAGAAAACAAAGGGAAACUAGAAAAAUUCAAAGGAGAAUUCGCGUUUUUCGCCCGUUUACGCGUCUAACAGUAAGAUUUUUCGAGUUUUGCUUGAUUUCUACCUUUCCUAUGCCUUUGCUUCCAUUUAGCAUGCUUGAGGAGAGAAAUCUAAAAGUGACAUCAAGGGCUGGACAAAAUUCUAGGGGAGAGAAAUUGAAAUUUUUGGGUUUUGAUUUUUAGUUAAAUUGAUAGUUUUAGUUAGUUAAAUGUGUUUAGAAAUUAAAUUGGGCAAGAAAGCAUUAAAUUUUCACAAUACCCACCCUUGGCUGAAUCUGCAAUGAGGUACAAUGAUGAUAAUCUGAUAUUUAUUCUAAGAGAAAUGAAGAGAAAAUGAUGAAAAAUGGUUAAAUGUGAUAGAAAAACAAAGUGAAAAAUUNNNNNNNNNNNNNNNNNNNNNNNNNNNNNNNNNNNNNNNNNNNNNNNNNNNNNNNNNNNNNNNNNNNNNNNNNNNNNNNNNNNNNNNNNNNNNNNNNNNNNNNNNNNNNNNNNNNNNNNNNNNNNNNNNNNNNNNNNNNNNNNNNNNNNNNNNNNNNNNNNNNNNNNNNNNNNNNNNNNNNNNNNNNNNNNNNNNNNNNNNNNNNNNNNNNNNNNNNNNNNNNNNNNNNNNNNNNNNNNNNNNNNNNNNNNNNNNNNNNNNNNNNNNNNNNNNNNNNNNNNNNNNNNNNNNNNNNNNNNNNNNNNNNNNNNNNNNNNNNNNNNNNNNNNNNNNNNNNNNNNNNNNNNNNNNNNNNNNNNNNNNNNNNNNNNNNNNNNNNNNNNNNNNNNNNNNNNNNNNNNNNNNNNNNNNNNNNNNNNNNNNNNNNNNNNNNNNNNNNNNNNNNNNNNNNNNNNNNNNNNNNNNNNNNNNNNNNNNNNNNNNNNNNNNNNNNNNNNNNNNNNNNNNNNNNNNNNNNNNNNNNNNNNNNNNNNNNNNNNNNNNNNNNNNNNNNNNNNNNNNNNNNNNNNNNNNNNNNNNNNNNNNNNNNNNNNNNNNNNNNNNNNNNNNNNNNNNNNNNNNNNNNNNNNNNNNNNNNNNNNNNNNNNNNNNNNNNNNNNNNNNNNNNNNNNNNNNNNNNNNNNNNNNNNNNNNNNNNNNNNNNNNNNNNNNNNNNNNNNNNNNNNNNNNNNNNNNNNNNNNNNNNNNNNNNNNNNNNNNNNNNNNNNNNNNNNNNNNNNNNNNNNNNNNNNNNNNNNNNNNNNNNNNNNNNNNNNNNNNNNNNNNNNNNNNNNNNNNNNNNNNNNNNNNNNNNNNNNNNNNNNNNNNNNNNNNNNNNNNNNNNNNNNNNNNNNNNNNNNNNNNNNNNNNNNNNNNNNNNNNNNNNNNNNNNNNNNNNNNNNNNNNNNNNNNNNNNNNNNNNNNNNNNNNNNNNNNNNNNNNNNNNNNNNNNNNNNNNNNNNNNNNNNNNNNNNNNNNNNNNNNNNNNNNNNNNNNNNNNNNNNNNNNNNNNNNNNNNNNNNNNNNNNNNNNNNNNNNNNNNNNNNNNNNNNNNNNNNNNNNNNNNNNNNNNNNNNNNNNNNNNNNNNNNNNNNNNNNNNNNNNNNNNNNNNNNNNNNNNNNNNNNNNNNNNNNNNNNNNNNNNNNNNNNNNNNNNNNNNNNNNNNNNNNNNNNNNNNGGCCACUUGUCAUUGUAACUAUUAUUGUACAUUAUAACUUUGUAAAUUUUUGUAUGUGUGAAUUUAUUUUACUUACACGUUACAAAAGAUUUCUUACACGUUACAAAAGAUUUCUUACACGUGUUUCUAUAAAUAUUAUUUUAUAUAAAAAAAUACUAUAUUUUAAUCAAUAUUUUGAAUAGUGAUAUUUAUCUAUAAAUCCUUUUAAAAUAUUUUUGUCUUUUGAUUUACUUGAACAGGAAACUACUGGAAAUAGUUUAAAAUGGAAUGUUUAAGAACGAUUGCUCACAAAAAAGGCAAGAAACUGAUAUGUAAGCCUUACGGGGUUCUGAUUGGCAUUUCGGGUAAUGAGUGUCAAUUGGGACGUCGCGACGGUUGUCAUGGGCUCGAGGGAGGUGUCGGGUUAUGACAUUUUUAGUAAGAAAUUAAAUCAAGUGCAUUGUUUUUGAAACAAGUGCAUCAUGAUUUCUAAAUUCUUCCUAUCGAUUGCUUGUUCCGUUCUUAUGUUCAGUCACUGAGUUUUAUACUCACCAUUUUAAACUUCAUGUUUUCAGAUUCGAAGGCAAGUUGGGACCUAGAUUGAGUCGCACACAUAUGCUCGCAUUUUUGGUAGGUACUAUGGCAUCUCAGUAGCUGUACCUUCACCCACAGUCACUCCACUGACGGUCAAGAGUCUUAUGCUUGUGUACAUGUAUAAGUAAUGAAGACCACUAAGAUUCAUGUUAAAAAUCAAAUAUGUAUAUUUGAUUACUGAUGCCACUAUAAGGUGGCAAAUGAGUG
Molecule: long non-coding RNA, 32617 nt
Filed under: Theobroma cacao (cacao)
Lineage: Eukaryota; Viridiplantae; Streptophyta; Magnoliopsida; Malvales; Malvaceae
Description: long non-coding RNA (TCAC_LNC003254)
Source: RNAcentral